UACGAAGGGGGCUAGCGUUGCUCGGAAUCACUGGGCGUAGAGCGCACAUAGGCGGAUCGUUAAGUCGGGGGUGAAAUCCUGGAGCUCAACUCCAGAACUGCCUUCGAUACUGGCGAUCUUGGAGUCCGGGAGAGGUGAGUGGAACUCCGAGUGUAGAGGUGAAAUUCGUAGAUAUUCGGAAGAACACCAGUGGCGAAGGCGGCUCACUGGCCCGGUACUGACGCUGAGGUGCGAAAGCGUGGGGAGCAAACAGG
This 254-nucleotide ribosomal RNA is filed under the name uncultured bacterium. Its description in RNAcentral is "partial 16S ribosomal RNA". It matches the Rfam family "Bacterial small subunit ribosomal RNA", at positions 524 to 776 of the family's 1533-position model. The record is from RNAcentral.